CUGCGGCUGUGGGAUGAACAGGUCCCAACAUUUACUCCAUUUUUCACUUUGUCAGCUGAUGGGCAUAAAUGUUUAGCUGAUCAUUUAAAAUGGGAAAAUU
Molecule: non-coding RNA, 100 nt
Organism: Zea mays
Lineage: Eukaryota; Viridiplantae; Streptophyta; Magnoliopsida; Poales; Poaceae
Source: Rfam